UAGGGAAUCUUCGGCAAUGGGGGGAACCCUGACCGAGCAACGCCGCGUGAGUGAAGAAGGUUUUCGGAUCGUAAAGCUCUGUUGUUAAGGAAGAACGAGUGUGAGAAUGGAAAGUUCAUGCUGUGACGGUACUUAACCAGAAAGGGACGGCUAACUACGUGCCAGCAGCCGCGGUAAUACGUAGGUCCCGAGCGUUGUCCGGAUUUAUUGGGCGUAAAGCGAGCGCAGGCGGUUAGAAAAGUCUGAAGUGAAAGGCAGUGGCUCAACCAUUGUAGGCUUUGGAAACUGUUUAACUUGAGUGCAGAAGGGGGGAGUGGAAUUCCAUCUGUAGCGGUGAAAUGCGUAGAUAUAUGGAGGAACACCGGUGGCGAAAGCGGCUCUCUGGUCUGUAACUGACGCUGAGGCUCGAAAGCGUGGGGAGCGAACAGG
RNAcentral lists this ribosomal RNA (429 nucleotides) under Bacteroidota bacterium. RNAcentral describes it as "Bacteroidetes bacterium partial 16S ribosomal RNA". It matches the Rfam family "Bacterial small subunit ribosomal RNA", at positions 355 to 776 of the family's 1533-position model. The record is from RNAcentral. Lineage: Bacteria; Pseudomonadati; Bacteroidota.